Molecule: long non-coding RNA, 991 nt
Organism: Herpailurus yagouaroundi (jaguarundi)
Lineage: Eukaryota; Metazoa; Chordata; Mammalia; Carnivora; Felidae
Exons: 3
Source: RefSeq, a predicted model, not a curated record
UCUUGGACUUCCAGCCCCAAGAGCUGUGAGAAACUAAAUGUGUAUUAUUUAAUCCCCCUGUUCUGUGGUAUUUUAUAAUACAGCCCAGCAAAUGAAUAUACCAAGGUAAGCCAACUUGUAUUGGAAGUAAAGAUACAUUCAGGGUGGUAAAAGUAUGGGACUUUGAAACAGGAAGGCUGUUUCUGGAUUUACUGGGGCUCAUGGCAAUGUUGGAAUCACAUUCUGACCUUUGACUCCAGUGGAAGAAGGCUAGUCACUGGGGGCAGAGACGGCUGUCUGAAGAUAUGGAGCUACAACAGCGGACAUUGUCUGCACACACUGAAACAUGGCAAGUCGCUUCCUACCAAGGCUCCCCAUAACAUAAUGAUGCAAGAUUGGGCAUUUGUUGUCAAGGUAGAAGAAACAAAUGAGAUGGGAUCUAGGGUGCACGUGACAAUCCUACAUUCUUUUUCUCUGGCCCUUCAUUUUACCAAUGACUUUAAACUUCUACUGAGGAGAGAUGUACUUUACAUGAAUGUAUGUGCUCCCAGCUAAGCCUUGUGCACCUGCUCCUUCAUCACCCGGUAUGUUUAUCUGCGUUCUUAAAAGAGCUUAGCUUUUCUAAACAUUUUAAACAUCACAUAAGUCAAAAUAUGGGUGAGCAAACUAAAAGCUAGUCUGUUUUGUGUGUUAGUGACUUUUUUUUCCAAGGCCACUUUUCCACUUGUUCAUGUGCUGUACCUGAUUUUGGUCGAAUUUCCACAAUUCUGGCCUGUUGACUUUCCAUGAGGAAGAUAAGAGGCAAAAGCUUUUCAACUACCAGAGAAUAUAAAAGAAUCCAAAGUAAAAAAAGACAAAAAUCACUCAAAGUAAUGAGUUUGUGAUUCCAAGUUCUGCUUUUGACCUGCCUGUGUUCACUUGUCUCCUCACUCAGGAGGAGCCGGGCACCGUGUAGGGUCCUGUCAGGAGAAGGCGAGCUUCUUCCCAAAGCUGAGCAAGGGCAGAACCAGCA